Molecule: ribosomal RNA, 497 nt
Filed under: uncultured bacterium
Lineage: Bacteria
Description: partial 16S ribosomal RNA
Rfam family: Bacterial small subunit ribosomal RNA
Source: RNAcentral
GAUGAACGCUGGCGGCGUGCCUAAUACAUGCAAGUCGAGCGAACGGACGAGAAGCUUGCUUCUCUGAUGUUAGCGGCGGACGGGGGAGUAACACGUGGAUAACCUACCUAUAAGACUGGGAUAACUUCGGGAAACCGGAGCUAAUACCGGAUGAUAUUUUGAACCGCAUGGUUCAACAGUGAAAGACGGUCUUGCUGUCACUUAUAGAUGGAUCCGCGCUGCAUUAGCUAGUUGGUAAGGUAACGGCUUACCAAGGCAACGAUGCAUAGCCGACCUGAGAGGGUGAUCGGCCACACUGGAACUGAGACACGGUCCAGACUCCUACGGGAGGCAGCAGUAGGGAAUCUUCCGCGAUGGGCGAAAGCCUGACGGAGCAACGCCGCGUGAGUGAUGAAGGUCUUCGGAUCGUAAAACUCUGUUAUUAGGGAAGAACAUAUGUGUAAGUAACUGUGCACAUCUUGACGGUACCUAAUCAGAAAGCCACGGCUAACUACGUG